UGGGGAAUAUUGCACAAUGGGCGCAAGCCUGAUGCAGCCAUGCCGCGUGUGUGAAGAAGGCCUUCGGGUUGUAAAGCACUUUCAGCGAGGAGGAAGGUGGUGAGCUUAAUACGCUCAUCAAUUGACGUUACUCGCAGAAGAAGCACCGGCUAACUCCGUGCCAGCAGCCGCGGUAAUACGGAGGGUGCAAGCGUUAAUCGGAAUUACUGGGCGUAAAGCGCACGCAGGCGGUUUGUUAAGUCAGAUGUGAAAUCCCCGGGCUCAACCUGGGAACUGCAUUUGAAACUGGCAAGCUAGAGUCUCGUAGAGGGGGGUAGAAUUCCAGGUGUAGCGGUGAAAUGCGUAGAGAUCUGGAGGAAUACCGGUGGCGAAGGCGGCCCCCUGGACGAAGACUGACGCUCAGGUGCGAAAGCGUGGGGAGCAAACAGGAUUAGAUACCCCUGGUAGUCCACGCUGUAAACGAUGUCGAUUUUGGAGGUUGUGCCCUUGAGGCGUGGCUUCCGGAGCUAACGCGUUAAAUCGACCG
This 526-nucleotide ribosomal RNA is filed under the name uncultured bacterium. RNAcentral describes it as "partial 16S ribosomal RNA". It matches the Rfam family "Bacterial small subunit ribosomal RNA", at positions 355 to 871 of the family's 1533-position model. The record is from RNAcentral.